AUCGGUGCCUGCUUCUUCAACACGUCGUCAUCCCCGUCCAACUGUCGGCAGCGGCGAGCUCUACACAAAGCUUCGGUGGAAUUUCUGUGCGACACAGGAAUUUGGAUGGUCCAAUCCAUCCGACCAAAUAAACUGGUGUGAGAAUCGGCAGCAGCUGCUAUUGCAGCUAUACCAUCCGCAUCUUCAAUGUGACAUAGGGAUUGAACUUCAUUUACAUUUCCUCCGAAAUGCGAACAAUUUGUUUGAAUAGUCUAAAAUUUAUAUUCAUAGUACUUAUAGUUUCCUUUUUUGUCCACCAUACACAAUCUGUUACCUAUUUGCAUACUUUAAUUUUAUGCUCCUGGCAUAUCACUAAUGCGCUGCGACAUGCAGUUAGCUCCUUUUGUAAUCUUUAAGACCAAUGCUUCUAAGAUUAAGACCACCCUGCUCCUAACCUGCUUCUGUGGUCGUUAACACCACUGCUUUUGAUCCACAUUCAUAUAGCUACGCCUACUGUAUUGUAAUCUCUAAGCUCUUCUAUAAUAUAAUCUCUAAGAACUUCAUGCUGUUACAUUUCCAGAACUUGAAAACUUCAUUGCUACAAAAA
This is a long non-coding RNA of Zea mays, 586 nucleotides long. RefSeq lists it as uncharacterized. The transcript is spliced from 2 exons. The record is from RefSeq and is a predicted model, not a curated record. Lineage: Eukaryota; Viridiplantae; Streptophyta; Magnoliopsida; Poales; Poaceae.